AUUUAGAGAAAAUGACUUCUUGAAAUGGGAUAAUCAGCAACAUUACAGUCUUGAAUUUCCUCCAGGCUCUAGGCUAUCUACACACUAAAGAAGAACUGCUGGAAUCAGAGCUUGAUGUUUUGAAGUCCUUGAACUUCCAAAUUAAUCUGCCCACUCCCCUGGCAUAUGUGGAGACGCUCCUAGAGGUUUUAGGAUACAAUGGCUGUUUGGUUCCAGCCAUGAGGCUGCAUGCAACCUGCCUGACACUGCUCGACCUGGUCUAUCUUCUGCAUGAACCCAUAUAUGAGAGCCUGUUGAGGGCUUCAAUUGAGAACUCCACUCCCAGUCAGCUGCAAGGGGAAAAGUUUACUUCAGUGAAGGAAGACUUCAUGCUGUUGGCAGUAGGAAUCAUUGCAGCAAGUGCUUUCAUCCAAAACCAUGAGUGUUGGAGCCAGGUUGUGGGGCAUUUGCAGAGCAUCACUGGUAUUGCCUUGGCAAGCAUUGCUGAGUUCUCUUAUGCAAUCCUGACUCACGGAGUGGGAGCCAACACUCCGGAGAGACAGCAGUCUAUUCCUCCCCACCUGGCAGCCAGAGCUCUGAAGACUGUUGCUUCCUCUAACACAUGAGGGAGGCUGAAUCCACCAAAUAUAAACAGCCAUCCGUCACUGCACUCAUGCCUCCCUCUGUUUACUUUCAUACUAAGGGUACAAAAAUUCCAAGUCUCUUUUGAACUGUAUUUUGUAUGCCAAUUUCAUGCUUAUUUUUCCUUUAUCAGAGAGAGUUAAGGUGGACGAGCAUGCCCUUUUUGUCAUAUCAGCCUGAAAAUGUUAAAAAGCUAGGUGGAGACAGAUUAGUUGUUUCAUUUUUGUUUAACAAGGUAUUUAUACUUUUAGCUUAAUUUCAUUAAGAGGAACAUCAGGCAUUGAGAUCAGUAUUAAUCAGGGGCUCAAAUACAGACUAUCUGGGUGACCUUGACUAAGCAUCAAGGAGGUAGCCUUUAUUUCCCCUUAAAAUUAGUUUAACAUCUCUGUUCCAUUAUUCAGAUCUACACAAACAAGGCUUCCUCAACAGCUAUCUAUUUUUACUAGAGUCUUUUUUUAAAACUAAAACUAACUCUAAAGAAGUUUCAACAGAAUUUCCACAUACCUGCAUUCAUUAGAACUUGAUUCUCCCAGAAUACAAAGUACUCUAUUUUAAAGAAAAACCCAACAGUGCACCCCUGGGCAGUUUUCAGACUGCAGCAAAUCUUUUAUUACAAAUAAUUAAAUCUCUCCAUAAUGUCUCCAACAGUAUCAAACACCAUUUCAUAUCUCUAACACAGAGCAGAGUCGGCAUUCAGUAUAAGAACCAAGUGAAAAGUGUUAAAUUUCAAGCAUCUGAUCACAUCACAUGGUGACCAGGUAAAGCUUAGAUGUCAUUUUCCCACAUUAUCCAACUGUGCAUCUCAAACAUAUCCUCAUCUCAGUAAAGACAAAAGUUUCUAUUUCAUAUUGUUAAGUGCAGGAAGUUGAGAGAGAUAAAAAUCCAGUGAAAACACAUCAAUCUCAAUUCAACUCAGUUAAAAAAAAGAAAAGCAAAUUUAAAUUAGUUUUUUUCAGAGAAGAAAGGGAAAGGAGUCCAUGGGGUUAAGAAUCAAAACUGUGACCAGGGCUGGCAACUAUAGAUGGCAUGUUGUAGCUCUGGAAAGUAUCUGUCACAUGAUAUUUUAAAAUAAAGUGGCUUUUGUGGAUUUUUUCUUUUUUGGUAUUGUAAACAUGUACUGUUUAAUAUUACCCGAAUUUAAUUUAAAACAUGUUUGCAAACAAAACAAAAUUAAAAGCCUUUAAGGCAAACCUCCCCCUAAGGAAAAAAGUCAUUUGUUAUAAAAUUGUGAGGACACCCAAGCAAGACCCCACUUAAGAUUCGUCAGCAUGAACUUGAGAGCUUUUGUCCACUGCUCCUCAGAGUUAAACUGGGUUUUGAUGGAAUAGGAGCCGCCGCUGCCUCCUGUGUCUUCAAUCUUGCCUUUCUCCACAUCCAUCCUGCAGAUGGACAGAGCAAAACUCAUUAGUAACUGAGAUCUGAGUUAAGUCAGUUCGGGGCAGGGACUUGAUCAUGGGACCAUUCACGUCAUUUUAUCUAUUAAAGAACACUUGGUGAGGAAUGAUAGUGUAUUUUGGAUUUGCUUGAAAGCCAAAAAUCAAGAAGACUGUCACAAGAGCCUCAUUGUCAUUGCAGAGUACAGGGACAGGACACACACCCAAAGAGAAGAGAAGCCUGGAGUAGGGGUGAGUGAGGGUUACAGUACUUCUUGCUGUUUUCCUAGGCAUCCCUGAACUUGGCGGGGGAGAAAGGAGGCAGAAGAAAAGAAAUGCUUUGUUUUGGGGUGAUAGAAGCAGCCUUACUCUAGGUAAAAACUAGAGUUUCCAUCCAUCAAUGGGAUCCUACAAAAAUCAAAAGAAGCAUUCCUGUGUAUUUCCAAGGGCUUCAGGGAAAAACCUUCUUGAAACUGGAGAGGAGGCUUGAGCUCUAUGCCAAGAAAACCCCCCAAACCAUCUAAGGCAACAUUCUUCUACUCCAAGGACUAGGUGGUCACAUUCUGUCCUGCUUGCAGUACUGGGUCAGUCUCUGCCCAUCAAUGUCAUGUGAUUCUGUGCCAUUUUUUUGCUUUCCCACCAUUUAUACUGUUUUGCCUCCAUUA
Molecule: small RNA, 2659 nt
Filed under: Pan troglodytes (chimpanzee)
Lineage: Eukaryota; Metazoa; Chordata; Mammalia; Primates; Hominidae
Description: processed transcript
Source: RNAcentral